CAUGACUAAUAUGGACCGGUGGUUGCUUGUUUCAUACUUUCAUAUAUUGAUGGUUUACAUAAAAAGAAGAUAUCAAUGAUAUCCAUAUAUCUAUUACUAACCAUAUAUGUGGAUGUGAUAUAUUCUUUUAUAUAUGCACUAAAUUUCUUUUUCCUCAAAAGAUGACUUAUUUUAGUUAUUUGAAUUCAAAGUUAAGGAAUGAGGAAGGAAAAUAGAAAAUAAGCAGACAAUCUACAUUUUUUUUU
Molecule: long non-coding RNA, 245 nt
Organism: Arabidopsis thaliana (thale cress)
Lineage: Eukaryota; Viridiplantae; Streptophyta; Magnoliopsida; Brassicales; Brassicaceae
Product: other RNA
Exons: 1
Source: RefSeq